UACGGAAGGCAGCAGUGGGGAAUAUUGCACAAUGGGCGCAAGCCUGAUGCAGCCAUGCCGCGUGUAUGAAGAAGGCCUUCGGGUUGUAAAGUACUUUCAGUCGUGAGGAAGGUGUUAAGGUUAAUAACCUUAGCAAUUGACGUUAGCGACAGAAGAGGCACCGGCUAACUCCGUGCCAGCAGCCGCGGUAAUACGGAGGGUGCGAGCGUUAAUCGGAAUUACUGGGCGUAAAGGGCACGCAGGCGGUUAAUUAAGUUGGAUGUGAAAUCCCCGGGCUUAACCUGGAAAUGGCAUUCAAGACUGGUUAGCUAGAGUCUUGUAGAGGGGGUAGAAUUCCAUGUGUAGCGGUGAAAUGCGUAGAGAUGUGGAGGAAUACCGGUGGCGAAGGCGGCCCCUGGACAAAGACUGACGCUCAUGUGCGAAAGCGUGGGGAGCAAACAGGGAUUAGAU
RNAcentral lists this ribosomal RNA (450 nucleotides) under uncultured bacterium. RNAcentral describes it as "bacterial SSU rRNA". It matches the Rfam family "Bacterial small subunit ribosomal RNA", at positions 340 to 783 of the family's 1533-position model. The record is from RNAcentral.